Molecule: ribosomal RNA, 380 nt
Filed under: uncultured Bacteroidales bacterium
Lineage: Bacteria; Pseudomonadati; Bacteroidota; Bacteroidia; Bacteroidales
Description: bacterial SSU rRNA
Rfam family: Bacterial small subunit ribosomal RNA
Source: RNAcentral
GCUAGCUACAGGCUUAACACAUGCAAGUCGAGGGGUAGCAGGGUAGCAAUACCGCUGACGACCGGCGCACGGAUGAGUAACACGUAUCCAACCUUCCCAUAACUCGGGGAUAGCCUUUCGAAAGAAAGAUUAAUACCCGAUAGUACUUGAGAAAGGCAUCUUUUUUAAGUUAAAGAUUUAUUGGUUAUGGAUGGGGAUGCGUUCCAUUAGAUAGUUGGUGAGGUAACGGCUCACCAAGUCUUCGAUGGAUAGGGGUUCUGAGAGGAAGGUCCCCCACAUUGGUACUGAGACACGGACCAAACUCCUACGGGAGGCAGCAGUGAGGAAUAUUGGUCAAUGGGCGAGAGCCUGAACCAGCCAAGUAGCGUGAAGGAUGACGG